AGUGACCUUCAGCUAAAUGACUUGUUACUGCUUUAUUUUCUCUUCACAGGACACUUGAGACAUGAUUACCAUGAGCGAAAGUUUCUGUGUUGCUGAAGAAGUCCGUCAAAGAGAAACACCAUGUGCAUGGAAGGCAAAUCCUUCCCUUGUAAGUUCUUCUCACGUAUGCCAUGGAGAAGGGGUCAUAUAGUACUUUAAUAGGUCUCAUCCCUUAACUGCUAUAAAAACCCAAGCCAUUUUCAGAUCACCCUGGGAAAUCUGCAGCAUCUCCCCAGAAAACAU
This is a long non-coding RNA of Lontra canadensis (Northern American river otter), 282 nucleotides long. RefSeq lists it as uncharacterized. NCBI's taxonomy places the organism in Eukaryota, Metazoa, Chordata, Mammalia, Carnivora, Mustelidae. The record is from RefSeq and is a predicted model, not a curated record. The transcript has 3 exons.